AUGACAGCAGAUGAUCUCUAUAUUCUGAAUCCACAUCCAUGGUCUGCUCCAUUGCAACUUCACCUUUCUAGGGAGUACUUAUAUGUUAUAUCUACAUCAGACUUUUCUGCCAAAAAUAUUCCAGUGUCAAUACCACCAGUGCAGGUUCACUGUGUAUACCAUCAGUGUAGAUAGGGCUUCAGGCAGCUGCAGGAGCUUUAAGCACAGCGACCCUGAUUCUCAAAGGUAUUUAGGCCUCUCACUUCCACUGAUUUCAAUGGGCGUUGAGAGCCUAAAUACCUUUAAGGAUCUGGGCCAGUGUCACCUAACCUUGCUCAUAGACAGUCUAGAUGACCUGGUGCUUCAAAUGCAGUCAGUGGUUUGUCUUGUUUACAAUAGUGCUACCACCAUUGCUACCACCGGUGGAGUUGCACAGGUGAAACUCUUAGGAAAAAAAAAGCUGGUGUGGAUACAUCCCUGUCUGCAAUACCCUAACUUUUAAACUAGGUUAAGAAAAAUAUCAUGCUAUAGAAGAGUUUAUAUCUACACUAUAAGCUCUAAAAAUUUGUUUUCAGUUGUGUGGCAGAGCUAUGUGAACCCUUCCAUGGGAGUCUUCUGACACAUGGGUAAUUUGAACAUAAUAGCGCUUACAAUGUGGAUUGUACUUUAAUUAUUAUUUCUCUGAUCUUCUGUAUUACAAUAUUUGAUACCCCUGCCUUUAUUUAUCGUUUGACCAUUUUAUUAUACAUCUCUACUCCAGUUCCUGUAUAUCACUCAAAAAUUUCAUUAUUCACAAAACUGAACAUCUGCUUCCUCACAUAAAAGACUUUUAUUAAGUAAUUAUGUUGUGUAUAGUUUAUUUCUCUCUGUUGUCACCUAAAGUGAGACUGCUCCACUUAAAAUCUGCUUUGCCAUAUAUAUCAACACAGAUAUGAGGAGAUUAGCGUUAUUCAAGACAGAGAAGCCAUAUGUUGGAACAAAAAUGCAAAGAUCCAAGGCCUUUAAGAAAAUCAAAUAAUGUGGAAAACAUAUAUGUCUACUUAUGGCAAGACCUCAGCUCCAUUUAAGAUACUUUAAAUAUUCAAGUAGCAAGGGGUGAGAAUAAAUUAGCUAAUUUGUAAGUAAACCUUGAAUUAUUUUAUUUGGUUUAAACUAGCUCGCUAAGGGAUUAUAGCUGAAAUAAGAAAGGCAGAAAGACUGGGGUUUUAAGACGUAUUUUUAUUCACAAAAUUGUUUUUGUCUGGGGUGAUGGAAGCUUUGGAGUGUUGUCUCACAGAGUGUCCUUUAGUAAAGAGAGUCAUGGAAGAGCUUGCCAAGGGGAUAGUACUUUCUGUUUUGUUAGGGCAGGGCAGACAGAACAUUUAGUCCAUUAUAUUUAGGAUAAAUUGUCCCAUCUGAAAUGUGGGGACAGACAGUAAUAUUUAGAAAAGGCAGGUCAAAGGUAGAGCUAGAGACAUAUAAGGAUUUGAGCAUCAUGUGGUGUUAUCUGGUUUUAUGGAAAAGGAGCACAAUCUGAUCCACAUUAAAGAGACUCCUCUUCCAUACAAUGGCCCUGAAACUCUUACAUGUAUGAGUAAGAAUUACUUCCUUGAAUGAUGACUGAAGGAUCUGUUAUGUCAUGGCUUGUUAUGUGAGCCGUCUGCAACAUCAUCCAUGGAAAAAGGUCAUCACCAACAGAAACAAUCGGGAAAAUGUACUGUUGUUAAUUUCAGUGCAAAAUAAAUUGUAUACAAAUAAUCUAUGUUAAAAAUUGUUGUUUAGAUUGCAAAAUCAGGAAUUAAAAAGUUGGAAAAUGCCAUAUUUACUGUAGCCCAUGCAAUGUGAAAGCAAUUCUUUCCCUUCCAGUUUCCCUGACAAGGCCUUGUGCAAUGUCCCACCAAUUAGAAUGUAGCAGGUUAAUGCAUAUAAAACAUCUCCCUUUAAAAUAUGCUGCUGACUUUUGGGGCCUGAUCCUGCAUCACUGAAAUGAAUGGGAGCUUUGUUAUUGACUUCAGUGGUGCAGGAACUCCCAAUGGACUGAGGGAGACCUUGCUGACAUCGCAAUGGGCCAUCAUGGCAAUCAGGCUGGAGAGCUCUGUGAGAGCUGUAAAGAGCAGCAGAAGAUGGAGAGAAAGCAGCAGUAGGUGGGGGAAUAGCGUCUUCCAGCUCCUCCACCCCCAGUGGAGUUUGAGGACAGAGUGUAACCAACAAAAGCAGGCAGGGAAACAAGGUCUGCCAGCUCCACCGUCACUGGUGUCACAGCUGUUUGGGAGUAGCUUCCUUGAUCUGCAGUCUUGGAAGAAGAGAGGGUGAUGGUAAAAGAUUGUAUGAGCCCAAACUGUUUCAGCAACAAAAGCUGCUACAUCUAAACUACAACACCUAUAUCUACCAUGGGAAGUGAUUCUGGCCCCUGACAUCACUAUUAGGAUGACUGAAGGGCAUACCCACUUAAAAUCAGGAAGAAGAGGUUCCCCCUCUACCCUGGGGGAACCCCACCUCCCUCCACACACUGAAGGAAGUGCUGGGAGCAGGAAUACAGGAGCCAUCCUGUCAAGGACUGCCACAAAGUUCAGGUGGAAGUACAGCAUCUUGGGAACUUCAGUGAGUUUUGGGGACUGGACUCCCAGUAACUACCUUGGGAGCAAACCUUGAAGGAAACUCCGAGAGUGCUAGGUGUCUUGUUUCUUGCACAUAGGAGCAUUAAACCCAUUAAUUUUAAUUCUCAAAUGCUUUGGGAUAUGAGUUUAAAUCCAAAUCCCACACCAAGACUUGGACUCAUCAUCCCCAGUGCUGACACUUCAGGAGGGUUAGUGUGAGAAAGGUGGACCCUUCACAGUUAUAGUAAGUACUGUAAGGGCUUGUUUCUUCUCUAGAAGAUGGUCACAUCACAGACCUUAGCUCUCUCAAUCUUUUUCACUCUGACUGGGGCUGGAGGAUUUUGUACGGAGACAAACUUUUUCAGGUGUUGGCCCCUUUAAAACUGGCCAACAGAAUGUCGUCUCUUGAAGAGCUGAGGGUUCCAGUUCAGUUGAGACAGGUGGAUCAGGCAGUGUCGGGGGGCGGGCUGUGGAUCCCUGAUCCCACCUUCCCCAGGGGAAACCAGGUGGGGGGGGGGAGGGUGGGCAAGGCUUGGAGCAAAUUUACAGUGAAAGGAACCAGAACAAAGGCAAAGUGAUAAAGAGAAUCCUCAGAGGAGGAAAGACCAAGGAGACGAUAGAAAAGGUGACCAAGAGAUGGACGGAGAAAGGAAGGCAGGGAAGACAGGUGAAGUGAAAAUGUAGAUAUUAUUGCUAGACAAAUCCUGUUCACUCUUCUCUAAAUUAUUAGUAUUUAUAUAAUAUAAAGUUGUGACCUUGAUCAUUGCUAAGUUCUGGUCCCUGCUCUGCCACUUACUCCUUGUGUAACUUGGGCGGGGGGGAUCAGCCUCCUUAUAGUUCAGUUUCACCACCAGUAGAAAUGGAAAUAGCACCUCUCUGGCUCACAGAGUAGUUGUUAAGGCUGUUUGUAAA
This is a long non-coding RNA of Dermochelys coriacea (leatherback sea turtle), 3467 nucleotides long. RefSeq lists it as uncharacterized. NCBI's taxonomy places the organism in Eukaryota, Metazoa, Chordata, Testudines, Dermochelyidae. The record is from RefSeq and is a predicted model, not a curated record. The transcript has 3 exons.